AAAAAGUUUUAUCUACGCUUAUUAAUUUGAUUUAAAAUAAUUUUACAUGUAAAUUUUUUAACCUAAAGGGUUGGAAUGCAGUAAUUAAAUUUAUUUAUUAAGUUUUCUUAGAAUUAGGUAUUUUUAAAAGUACUAACAAAUCUUGUGCCAGCAGUUGCGGUUACACAAGGAGUACAAUUAAAUUGGAUCAGAAGAUAAUUAUUUUUAAGGGAUAUUCAAAUAAGGGCUUAUAAGGUGAAAUUUGAAGCUUUUUUCAGUAUACGUUUAAAAAGAUUUUAUUAAAUUUUCUUAUUAAACUAGGAUUAGAUACCCUAUUAUUUAAAAUGUAAAUAGAAUACUUUUGAGUAGUACUAGGGUACUUGAAAUUUAAAUGAUUUGGCGGUGUUUUAGUCUAUUCAGAGGAACCUGUCCUGUAAUUGAUAUUCCACAAUUUAUUAUACUUAGUUUUUAAGCUUGUAUAUCGUCGUUAUUUGAACAUUUCUUAAGAAAAAAAUGUUCAUUUUUUGGAAUUGCAAUGUAAGUCAGAUCAAGAUGCAGUUCAUGGCUAAGGAGUGAUGGGUUACAUUAAAUAUAUUUGUUGAAUUAUUUUUUGAGAGGAAGAUACGAAACUGGAUUUGAUAGUAAAUAUAAUUAGAUUAUUAUGUAGAUUUAAGCUCUAGAAUAUGCACAUAUCGCCCGUCGCUCCAAUUACAAAAUUGGAUAAGUCGUAACAAAGUAGGUGUAUCGGAAGGUGUACCUGGAGUUA
Molecule: non-coding RNA, 745 nt
Filed under: Lucanus mazama (cottonwood stag beetle)
Lineage: Eukaryota; Metazoa; Arthropoda; Insecta; Coleoptera; Lucanidae
Source: RNAcentral